AUUUGGGUGUAGUCCUUUGAAGAAUUAGCUUCAAAUUCAUUCCCAUCUUGAAGGCACAAAUUCUGCAGGCAUAGCUGUUGUCUUGUCUUGUAGCGUGGACAAAACAGAGUAGUGGAGGUAGUGGUUGUACACUUGUACUUUGUCAACUCUGUUAACGAAGGACAAAUACUCAGUGCUAUCCAAAAUGACCGUUGAUACCUCCCU
This 204-nucleotide long non-coding RNA is filed under the name Medicago truncatula (barrel medic). Its description in RNAcentral is "long non-coding RNA (MTRU_LNC003743)". Lineage: Eukaryota; Viridiplantae; Streptophyta; Magnoliopsida; Fabales; Fabaceae. The record is from RNAcentral.